RNAcentral lists this ribosomal RNA (258 nucleotides) under Salmonella enterica subsp. enterica serovar Anatum. RNAcentral describes it as "partial 23S ribosomal RNA". It matches the Rfam family "Bacterial large subunit ribosomal RNA", at positions 1088 to 1345 of the family's 2925-position model. RNAcentral also lists the same sequence under 2 other names. Lineage: Bacteria; Pseudomonadati; Pseudomonadota; Gammaproteobacteria; Enterobacterales; Enterobacteriaceae. The record is from RNAcentral.
GACAGCCAGGAUGUUGGCUUAGAAGCAGCCAUCAUUUAAAGAAAGCGUAAUAGCUCACUGGUCGAGUCGGCCUGCGCGGAAGAUGUAACGGGGCUAAACCAUGCACCGAAGCUGCGGCAGCGACACUGUGUGUUGUUGGGUAGGGGAGCGUUCUGUAAGCCUGUGAAGGUGUGUCGUGAGGCAUGCUGGAGGUAUCAGAAGUGCGAAUGCUGACAUAAGUAACGAUAAAGCGGGUGAAAAGCCCGCUCGCCGGAAGAC